GGACUACCCGGGUAUCUAAUCCCGUUUGCUCCCCUGGCUUUCGCGCCUCAGCGUCAGCAGAGGUCCAGCGCGUCGCUUUCGCCACCGGCGUUCCUUCCGAUAUCUACGCAUUUCACCGCUCCACCGGAAGUUCCACACGCCCCUACCUCCCUCCAGGCCGCCAGUAUCCGCGGCGCUUCCCCGGUUGAGCCGGGGGCUUUCACCACAGACUUGACGGCCCGCCUACGCGCCCUUUAAGCCCAGUGAUUCCGAACAACGUUCGCACGGUUCGUCUUACCGCGGCUGCUGGCAC
This 292-nucleotide ribosomal RNA is filed under the name uncultured Planctomycetota bacterium. RNAcentral describes it as "uncultured planctomycete partial 16S ribosomal RNA". The record is from RNAcentral. Lineage: Bacteria; Pseudomonadati; Planctomycetota.